MicroRNA precursor from Pelodiscus sinensis (Chinese soft-shelled turtle), 78 nucleotides. It matches the Rfam family "mir-19 microRNA precursor family". Rfam says of the family: The hairpin precursors (represented here) are predicted based on base pairing and cross-species conservation -- their extents are not known. The record is from Rfam. NCBI's taxonomy places the organism in Eukaryota, Metazoa, Chordata, Testudines, Trionychidae.
GACUACAGCCAGUUUUGCAGGAUUGCAUUCCAGCUUAUUUCAAAUGCUGUGCAAAUCCAUGCAAAACUGACUGUGGUU